RNAcentral lists this ribosomal RNA (465 nucleotides) under Vreelandella stevensii. RNAcentral's name for it is "partial 16S ribosomal RNA". It matches the Rfam family "Bacterial small subunit ribosomal RNA", at positions 338 to 795 of the family's 1533-position model. The record is from RNAcentral. Lineage: Bacteria; Pseudomonadati; Pseudomonadota; Gammaproteobacteria; Oceanospirillales; Halomonadaceae.
CCUACGGGGGGCAGCAGUGGGGAAUAUUGGACAAUGGGGGCAACCCUGAUCCAGCCAUGCCGCGUGUGUGAAGAAGGCCCUCGGGUUGUAAAGCACUUUCAGUGAGGAAGAACGCCUGGUGGUUAAUACCCAUCAGGAAAGACAUCACUCACAGAAGAAGCACCGGCUAACUCCGUGCCAGCAGCCGCGGUAAUACGGAGGGUGCGAGCGUUAAUCGGAAUUACUGGGCGUAAAGCGCGCGUAGGUGGCUUGAUAAGCCGGUUGUGAAAGCCCCGGGCUCAACCUGGGAACGGCAUCCGGAACUGUCAAGCUAGAGUGCAGGAGAGGAAGGUAGAAUUCCCGGUGUAGCGGUGAAAUGCGUAGAGAUCGGGAGGAAUACCAGUGGCGAAGGCAGCCUUCUGGACUGACACUGACACUGAGGUGCGAAAGCGUGGGUAGCAAACAGGAUUAGAUACCCCAGUAGUC